Molecule: transfer RNA, 74 nt
Filed under: Candidatus Altarchaeales archaeon
Lineage: Archaea; Nanobdellati; Candidatus Altarchaeota; Candidatus Altarchaeia; Candidatus Altarchaeales
Description: tRNA-Pro
Rfam family: tRNA
About the family: Transfer RNA (tRNA) molecules are approximately 80 nucleotides in length. Their secondary structure includes four short double-helical elements and three loops (D, anti-codon, and T loops).
Source: RNAcentral
GGGGCCGUAGGGUAGCUUGGCAAUCCUUCCGGCUUAGGGAGCCGGUGACCCGAGUUCGAAUCUCGGCGGUCCCA